Vicia villosa (hairy vetch) is the source of this 3161-nucleotide RNA transcript. It is a transcript of the gene named protein HESO1-like, with no coding region annotated. Lineage: Eukaryota; Viridiplantae; Streptophyta; Magnoliopsida; Fabales; Fabaceae. The transcript is spliced from 11 exons. The record is from RefSeq and is a predicted model, not a curated record.
AUGAAAGGAAAAUAGUACAGUUUUGCGAAAUAAAGCCGAAUCGUCAGCGAAUCCAAUCCAACAGAAAGAUAAUAUUCGUACUUCAUCCAUUAUCUUCCCCAAUUAUUUCUCCCUCUGCGCGCGCCGCCGCUGCUUCUCUUCGUUUCGAAGCAACGAUGGAGUUAUCCGAAAGAGACCAACUAAAGGCUGCAGAGAGGCUCGAAUCGGAGAAAUUAGCCAAGAUCAAUUUCAACCCUACACGCAUCGUUGAUUUAGACGCACUUCUUUGUGAUACGUACGAUAAACAAUGUCCAAAGCCAGUUCAUUAUGACAACAGGAGAGAUUUGAUUCGCAUCUUCAAUAUGAUAGCACAGGAAAUAUAUGGCAAUAGUAAGUCAUCUCCCGUUGUGGAAGAAUAUGGAUCAUUUGUAAUGGACAUUUUCAAUGAAAAAAGUGAUCUUGACUUGUCUAUCAAUUUCAGUAAAGAUUCCAUUGAAAUUAGUCGGCAGAAGAAGAUUGACACCCUUCGGAAGUUCAGCAAGAAACUUCGCUCAAUUCAAAGAAAUGGGCAUGUUACUGCUUUAGAAGUUAUCCUGUCUGCCAAAGUACCGAUUAUAAAAGUUACUGAUAGUGGAACAGGUAUUGAAUGUGAUUUAUCAGUCGGAAAUUGGGAUGGCAUUGCAAAAUCCCAUAUUAUCCGUGCAAUUUCUGCCAUAGAUGAAAGGUUUCAAAAGCUAUCUUUACUGAUGAAAUCAUGGGCCAAGGCACAUAAUAUCAACAGUUCCAGAGACGCCACUUUGAAUUCUUUGUCGAUCAUAUCAUUUGUUGCUUUUCAUUUGCAGACUUGCGAUCCUCCCAUAUUACCUCCAUUCUCUACUUUACUUAAAGACGGAGCUGAUCUCGAGUCUGUAACGAAGAUUGUUAAAACUCAUACCAACUAUGGGAAUAAAAACAAAGAGUCAUUGGCCAAGCUUUUCGUUACUCUUUUAGUCAAGCUAGCUUCAGUUGAAAAUCUUUGGCAGGAUGGAUUUUGUACGAGUUCCUACAAAGGGUCGUGGGUUUUAAAAUCGUGGAGAUACUCAAUGAGUAUAGAGGAUUUCACAGAUCCAUCACAAAAUGUCGCUAGAGCAGUUAGAGCUGAAGGAUUUAAGGCGAUCUACAAAUGUAUCCAUAAUUCCAUCGACUAUGUUUCGCGAUUUUUAAAUGGUGAGAUCCAGGGAUUUGAAUUAAUGGACCAUUUGUUUGGAAACCCUAUGGUUUCAUCUCCAGGAGUUGAGGGUACUUCUACCAGCACCAUCAAUGAAAAAAAGAAUACCCCUCCUAUUUUGCGAAAUCCCCGCCCAACGAAAAAGAAAAAAAGAAGCUUAGCCAAAAACCUGGUUCCAGAUUUUCAACGAACUAAUCCCCGGGGCACAGAUCAGGUGCAUGUACUAUGUUCUACUCUAGGAGUUCAGGGUACUACUACUACCAACAUCAAUGGAAAUAAGAAUAACCCUUCUACUAGCGGCAUGAAUGAAAAUAGGAAUACCCCUCCUACUAGCAACAUCAAUGAGAAUAAGAAUAACCCUCCUACUAGCAGCAUCAAUGAAAAUAAGAAUAACCCUCCUACUAGCAGCAUCAAUGUAAAUAAGAAUAACCCUCCUACUAGUAUCAUUGGAAAUAAGAAUAAACCUCCUACUUUGCAAAAUCCUCGUCCAGCGAAAAAGCAAAAGCAACACUUGGGUAAAAACCAGGUUCGAGAUUUUUACCGAACUGAAUCUUGGAGCACAGGUCCGGUACAUGCACCGCCUAGUAUUAAUAUGCCAAAUGGCAUUCCUUCUUUUACUCCCCCACUCCCUUACCAGUCUCAAUAUCAAUCACCAUUUGCUACUUAUAGUUCAAAUUUUGAGCAUCACAGUUAUGUUCCACGGAAUGUUCCUCCUCCUCCUCCCUUUAGCUUAAACCCAGCUGUUACCCAAUUUUCUUAUAAUCCUUCUGUACAGUCUCAUCAUGUUUUGUCACAAACAGAUGGGGGUUAUGUUCCAACAUUUCAUCAGAAUGCAGUAGCUUCAAAUUCCUAUCAUGGUUCAUUCCCCCAGUCCUCACUACAAGGAAGAGACUAUGCCUCACUACACAGAAGGGACUAUGCCCCACCUCAAAGAUGGGACUAUGGCUCACCCCAAAGAUGGGACUAUGCCUACAGAAGGGACUAUGGCUCACCCCAAAGAUGGGACUAUGCCUACAGAAGGGACUAAGCCUCACCACAGAGAAGUGACUAUGCCUUAUGCCUUAUACAAUUACAGAAGUGGUUAAUUUGAUCUUAUGGGGGUUGAUUUUCAUACAUACUUUUUUUUUUAAGAUUAACAAUUGACAAAUGACUUACAUGUGAACAGCCAAUCCCCUUCUAUACUCUCAGUGCCUGUGACUGUCUUAAAUUAAAUCUCCCGGAUUUGUAUCUAGUGUAGAUUGAAAAUUGUUCUAUAACUGCUAUUUCGCUUUUGAAGCCAGAACACGUUCGUCUAAGUCACUCUCUUCUUUAUUUGAGAAAGCAGUUCAGUUGAUUGUAGAUGGCGAUGAAACUUUCUUCUAGCUGUCUUUUAUGAAGGAUGAACCUGUGUUUUAUUGGUAGGAUUUAAGGACUAGGAUAUGCAAUGAACAGCACAGGAAUGGACGGGCAAGUCUGCAAAUCAUUUUAGUUACAACUUGUGCAACAAUAAAUGAUGGAAGAGCAAGAACAAUUUAUGCAUUAUAUACCAUUCCAAUAUACCCUUGCAUAGAGAGAAAUAACAAUCAUCGUGGGUUUUAACGUACAAAGUUUGAGGUAUUAUACAUUUGGGGAUGGGUUUUUGUUGACAACUCUGUUACUAUUGAUACCAGUCACUUAACUAUUACAAACCAAAACAAGGAAUCAGAAGAGGUUACAGCAGCCCAGCCCAACAAGAAAAGGGAAUCUAAGAGAAUUACUUCAAGACCCAAGCAUCUUCAAGACUACACUAUCUGACAAUUGGAGCAAAGUUGCAAAUCUCACAGCAUCUAGAAGAAACGCCAGCUCAGCACCAAAUCUAGGAUUUAGGAUUGCAAUAUUUCCGUUAGGAUCUUUGUUAGUGGAACUCAUUUCCUGUAAUCAAGAAGAACCCUUGGAUUAAUUAUGAUAUUGUAAGCAUACUGCUAUAUAUACACUAGCAGAAUGAGUAAUGAAUCAA